This 243-nucleotide ribosomal RNA is filed under the name uncultured bacterium. RNAcentral describes it as "partial 16S ribosomal RNA". It matches the Rfam family "Bacterial small subunit ribosomal RNA", at positions 524 to 764 of the family's 1533-position model. The record is from RNAcentral.
UACGGAGGAUGCAAGCGUUAUCCGGAUUUAUUGGGCGUAAAGCGUCCGCAGGUGGCUAUUCAAGUCUGCUGUCAAAGCUCGGAGCUUAACUCCGAAUCGGCGGUGGAAACUGAACAGCUAGAGUGCAGUAGGGGUAGAGGGAAUUCCCGAGUGUAGCGGUGAAAUGCGUAGAGAUUGGGAAGAACACCGGUGGCGAAAGCGCUACUACUGGACUGCAACUGACACUCAGGGACGAAAGCUAGG